This 740-nucleotide ribosomal RNA is filed under the name uncultured bacterium. RNAcentral describes it as "bacterial SSU rRNA". It matches the Rfam family "Bacterial small subunit ribosomal RNA", at positions 8 to 796 of the family's 1533-position model. The record is from RNAcentral.
AGAGUUUGAUCAUGGCUCAGAACGAACGCUGGCGGCAGGCUUAACACAUGCAAGUCGAACGCCCCGCGAGGUGAGUGGCAGACGGGUGAGUAACACGUGGGAACCUUCCCUAUAGUACGGAAUAGCCCAGGGAAACUUGGAGUAAUACCGUAUACGCCCGAAAGGGGAAAGAAUUUCGCUAUAGGAUGGGCCCGCGUAGGAUUAGCUAGUUGGUUGAGGUAAUGGCUCACCAAGGCGACGAUCCUUAGCUGGUUUGAGAGAACGACCAGCCACACUGGGACUGAGACACGGUCCAGACUCCUACGGGAGGCAGCAGUGGGGAAUAUUGGACAAUGGGCGCAAGCCUGAUCCAGCCAUGCCGCGUGAGUGAUGAAGGCCUUAGGGUUGUAAAGCUCUUUUGCCGGGGACGAUAAUGACGGUACCCGGAGAAUAAGUCCCGGCUAACUUCGUGCCAGCAGCCGCGGUAAUACGAAGGGGACUAGCGUUGUUCGGAAUCACUGGGCGUAAAGCGCACGUAGGCGGAUUUGUAAGUCAGGGGUGAAAUCCCGGGGCUCAACCUCGGAACUGCCUUUGAUACUGCGAAUCUUGAGUCCGAUAGAGGUGGGUGGAAUUCCUAGUGUAGAGGUGAAAUUCGUAGAUAUUAGGAAGAACACCGGUGGCGAAGGCGGCCCACUGGAUCGGUACUGACGCUGAGGUGCGAAAGCGUGGGGAGCAAACAGGAUUAGAUACCCCCGUAGUCC